Long non-coding RNA from Hyla sarda, 478 nucleotides. RefSeq lists it as uncharacterized. NCBI's taxonomy places the organism in Eukaryota, Metazoa, Chordata, Amphibia, Anura, Hylidae. The transcript has 3 exons. The record is from RefSeq and is a predicted model, not a curated record.
GCCUAUUACUGGCUAAGGUGGGACAUCGCUGCGGCGGAUUAGCUGAUCUGCAGUGUGACACGUCGGGCACAUGGGAGGAGGAAGGUGACCAGCGGCACUGGAGGAGUGGUGUAAGAAAAUAAAGCUGCAAGUCUUAAAUCUGGUGCCGGAUCAUCGUUUGUUCUUCUGCCUUGAAUAUCAGCACUUUGCCAAGUGUGGACCCGUGCACAGAAACUGGUGGAGAUAUUUUUGACAGUCAUAGAAACCAAAUCUGGACCAGUUGAUAAAAAAUGUCUGCAAUUAAGAAUCAGAAGACAUCCAGAUGCUCUGUCUCUAACACUUUGCCAUAUGCCACAAUACCGAACAGAAGGUCAAAACUACCGAGCACAUGGAGAGAAGAAUCUGUGAUUCCCUUUAGACUGUGACAUUUGAUAUCUUUUAUGAUUUUAACAUAUUGAUUGAGAGGUCAGGAUAAAGAAGAUUUUUCUAAACUUUAAAU